Molecule: long non-coding RNA, 1689 nt
Organism: Myotis davidii
Lineage: Eukaryota; Metazoa; Chordata; Mammalia; Chiroptera; Vespertilionidae
Exons: 2
Source: RefSeq, a predicted model, not a curated record
GGAGACGCCGGCUGGUUCGAACCGGCACAGGUUCCAGGUUUGGGAACCUCCGGCUUGAAUCCAGACGCGCAUCGCUAUGAAGACAAAAGACUCACCCCCUUCCUCCACGCUUCCUAAAGGUCACCCCGAAUGUAUGCCCGCCGGGGGGCCGUCCGCAAAAGCACGAGUAAUGCUGGAGGCUUCCUCCUAGAGCAGUCUUUUCAAAAGGACUCCAACCUCUGCUCCUGGGUCCUGAAUGAGCAGGAACCUCAAAAAAAAAGGCCAGAAGGUUGAGAACCACUGCGAGCUCAGAGGAAGAAGUAGCAGUGAUGAUGAAACAUGACCCUGAGCGAUCCUGCUGCUAACCUGCCUCCUGCUAAAGCCCAGUCAGUCAGCCCAAGACCAGCAGGAAGAAGUCAGCGAUCCACUAAGGUCAGCUUUAUUUGUAAAUAAACCGGGAGGAAGGACCGUGCAGGGGAAGCGUGGGUACCACGGGGAAAGGCAGAGGAAGCGCCUUCUGUGAGGUUUCGGUUCCCGCCGAGGGAGGGGAGGGUCUAGGGAGAGCGGGGAUCCGGAUUGGACGCCGUUCCCGAGGCGCGAUUGGGAAAAGCGGGCCGGAAGCGGGGAUUGGGUGCGGUGCCCAGCAAUAAGCGACAAUAGCCACGGGGGCCUGGGUGUCAUUAAUUACAGCAAAACUGCUCACAGAAGACGCGGCAGCGCGAAUACAAGGUUCCCGGUUAACUCUGCAGCCCGCUUUCUCUGUGCCUGUCCGGUCGCUGCUGCUUGUUCUCAGUCCAGUCAGAACUGAUGCUCCUUCUUUAGGUCCUGGCCCAAACCAAGAAUUCUGGUUGGGAUUCUUGCACCCAUGAUGCCGAACUGGACAGGAUCCGGGUUCUGCCUUGGGAGCUCCAAACUGCUUUCAGACGCACCUUACCAUGAACGGAAGUUAUUUUCACGUCAACAGUUCAAAUGACAUCUUGUCCUUAUGCCCCGCAUUUGCUGGAAAUAGAGAAAAGAUGGGGGCACAGAAAGGAAACAGUAGAAAAGUUGGGCGAUGGGACAGAGGAGGUGUUGAGUGAUGGAGGGGUGAAGAAACUAGGCAUGAAGAACAGGAAAGAGAGUGUCAGGGGUCCCCAUGGAUUAGGAAUAUUGGGGCAAAGGUACGAUGAAGAGAUUUAAAAAAAAAAACAACCACGAAGAUGUUUAGCCUUCUCAGUGAUCCUAGGUUCAUGGAGGUCCUAAAUGGGAGGACGAAGGGCCAAAUUCACCCAGCAAAAAUGUUUCCUUUGGCCCACAUGGUAGUUUUCCAAAUAUAUUUUAAGUAGAUGCCAAAAUUCAAUAAAUCAAGAGAUUUUACCUUAAAAUCUAGAUUUCUAGUUUAUCUGGAAAAGAGGUAAGUGUCCAAGGCCUCUCUUCAUUCUGUAUAUGGGAGCAGUUGCUCCUGUUAAGCACCAGUGUUCCAUCAUUUCACUGCUCCUUGGCGAGACAGGCUGUGCCUCUCUUAAAGGGAUGAGAAUGCUCUUCAGUUAUUUUUAAGCCUCUCCUAGAUAAUUUUAAAGUUUCUCUUCAGGCACGCCUCAAAGAGCUCCACUCCGCACUGGUGUGAAGAACCCAGCCCCAAGCCAGACCCUGUGUGCUCCCUUAAUGCAGCUCCUUCCCUUUUUAUUCUCCCUCCACCUUGUUUUCACUAAACUUCUUCUUCUGAAUCUG